Molecule: ribosomal RNA, 496 nt
Filed under: uncultured bacterium
Lineage: Bacteria
Description: partial 16S ribosomal RNA
Rfam family: Bacterial small subunit ribosomal RNA
Source: RNAcentral
GACGAACGCUGGCGGCGUGCCUAAUACAUGCAAGUAGAACGCUGAAGAGAGGAGCUUGCUCUUCUUGGAUGAGUUGCGAACGGGUGAGUAACGCGUAGGUAACCUGCCUUGUAGCGGGGGAUAACUAUUGGAAACGAUAGCUAAUACCGCAUAACAAUGGAUGACACAUGUCAUUUAUUUGAAAGGGGCAAUUGCUCCACUACAAGAUGGACCUGCGUUGUAUUAGCUAGUAGGUGAGGUAACGGCUCACCUAGGCGACGAUACAUAGCCGACCUGAGAGGGUGAUCGGCCACACUGGGACUGAGACACGGCCCAGACUCCUACGGGAGGCAGCAGUAGGGAAUCUUCGGCAAUGGGGGCAGCCCUGACCGAGCAACGCCGCGUGAGUGAAGAAGGUUUUCGGAUCGUAAAGCUCUGUUGUAAGUCAAGAACGAGUGUGAGAGUGGAAAGUUCACACUGUGACGGGAGCUUACCAGAAAGGGACGGCGAACUACGU